GCAGUGACUCUAUGUGACUGGCUAGACGACGCUGGCGGCGUGCUUAACACAUGCAAGUCGAGUGCGCGCCUGUAGCAAUACAGGUGGCGCACGGCGCACGGGUGCGUAACACGUGGGUAACCUGCCCUUUAGUGGGGAAUAACCUCGCGAAAGCGAGGCUAAUUCCGCAUAAGAUCCGCAAGGAUGAAAGCCGAAAGGCGCUGAUGGAGGGGCCCGCGCACGAUUAGCUAGUUGGUGAGGUAAUGGCUCACCAAGGCUAUGAUCGUUAGCUGGUCUGAGAGGAUGGCCAGCCACACUGGAACUGAGACACGGUCCAGACUCCUACGGGAGGCAGCAGUGGGGAAUCUUGCACAAUGGGCGAAAGCCUGAUGCAGCGACGCCGCGUGGGGGAUGAAGCUUCUCGGAGUGUAAACCCCUUUCGACCCGGACGAAUACCUCGCAAGAGGGGUGACGGUACGGGUAUAAGAAGCCCCGGCUAACUACGUGCCAGCAGCCGCGGUAAGACGUAGGGGGCCAGCGUUGUUCGGAAUUACUGGGUGUAAAGGGUUCGUAGGCGGUGUGGCAAGUCGGGAGUGAAAUCUAUGGGCUUAACCCAUAGGCUGCUUCCGAAACUGCCGUGCUUGAGUGUGGGAGAGGCGCGUGGAAUUGCAGGUGUAGCGGUGAAAUGCGUAGAUAUCUGCAGGAACACCCGUGGCGAAAGCGGCGCGCUGGACCACUACUGACGCUGAGGAACGAAAGCUAGGGGAGCAAACAGGAUUAGAUACCCUGGUAGUCCUAGCCCUAAACGAUCAGGACUUGGGUGCACCCGUUCGGGUGUCGUCCCGGAGCUACGCGUUAAGUCCUGCACCUGGGGGAGUACGGUCGCAAGACUGAAACUCAAAGGAA
RNAcentral lists this ribosomal RNA (885 nucleotides) under uncultured soil bacterium. Its description in RNAcentral is "SSU rRNA". It matches the Rfam family "Bacterial small subunit ribosomal RNA", at positions 1 to 909 of the family's 1533-position model. The record is from RNAcentral.